Molecule: transfer RNA, 73 nt
Filed under: Bos taurus (domestic cattle)
Lineage: Eukaryota; Metazoa; Chordata; Mammalia; Artiodactyla; Bovidae
Also listed under: 2 other names
Rfam family: tRNA
About the family: Transfer RNA (tRNA) molecules are approximately 80 nucleotides in length. Their secondary structure includes four short double-helical elements and three loops (D, anti-codon, and T loops).
Source: Rfam by way of RNAcentral
UCCCUGGUAGUCCAACGAUGAGGACUCUACACUUCCACUGCAGGAGAUACGAGUUCGAUCCGUGGUCAGGGAA